Molecule: non-coding RNA, 112 nt
Filed under: Methylibium sp. NZG
Lineage: Bacteria; Pseudomonadati; Pseudomonadota; Betaproteobacteria; Burkholderiales; Sphaerotilaceae
Also listed under: 1 other name
Description: Glycine riboswitch aptamer
Rfam family: Glycine riboswitch aptamer
About the family: This family represents the bacterial glycine riboswitch. Glycine riboswitches usually consist of two metabolite-binding aptamers domains with similar structures in tandem.
Source: Rfam by way of RNAcentral
CGUUUCCUCACUGGAGAGAGGCCCACUCCGAGUGGGCCCACCGAAGGGGCAAGCAAGGCGCUGCACGCAGCGACGCGCGAAUCUCUCAGGUAAAGCGGACAGAGAGGGCUUU